Molecule: long non-coding RNA, 543 nt
Filed under: Homo sapiens (human)
Lineage: Eukaryota; Metazoa; Chordata; Mammalia; Primates; Hominidae
Description: non-protein coding lnc-LCN10-2:4
Source: RNAcentral
GAAUCCCUGUGAGUCUGACGGCCACGGCCUCACCCAGGCCGUUCUUCCCUGCAGCAUCCCCAGGCCCCCUGCGGGCAGGGACGGAGGGCUGACUCCGCUCCCGAGAGCCAGGAGGCUACAGGUUCUGGUCUUGGGAUUGCUGCCCAUCCUGAGGGUGAAGAGAAGCCCCUGGACAGAGGAUUGGAACCUUGUUCCCAGCAGGCUCAGACACCAGUGAGGUCCAGCCAAGGUCCCCAUAGCAAUAGGCGUGCUGGAGCUCUGGGUGCUGGCCACCAACUUCAGAGACUAUGCCAUCAUCUUCACUCAGCUGGAGUUCGGGGACGAGCCCUUCAACACCGUGGAGCUGUACAGUCUGACGGAGACAGCCAGCCAGGAGGCCAUGGGGCUCUUCACCAAGUGGAGCAGGAGCCUGGGCUUCCUGUCACAGUAGCAGGCCCAGCUGCAGAAGGACCUCACCUGUGCUCACAAGAUCCUUCUGUGAGUGCUGCGUCCCCAGUAGGGAUGGCGCCCACAGGGUCCUGUGACCUCGGCCAGUGUCCACCC